UACGUAGGGGGCAAGCGUUGUCCGGAUUUAUUGGGCGUAAAGAGCGUGUAGGCGGCUAGAUAGGUCCGUUGUGAAAACUGGAGGCUCAACCUCCAGCUGUCGAUGGAAACCAUCUGGCUAGAGUCCGGAAGAGGAGAGUGGAAUUCCCGGUGUAGCGGUGAAAUGCGCAGAUAUCGGGAAGAACACCCGUGGCGAAGGCGGUUCUCUGGGACGGUACUGACGCUGAGACGCGAAAGCGUGGGGAGCGAACAGG
RNAcentral lists this ribosomal RNA (253 nucleotides) under uncultured bacterium. RNAcentral describes it as "partial 16S ribosomal RNA". It matches the Rfam family "Bacterial small subunit ribosomal RNA", at positions 524 to 776 of the family's 1533-position model. The record is from RNAcentral.